AAUACGAUACGCUAAGGCGUCGAAGUAGUGUAUGUCAUACUUCCAAGAAAAGCUUGCACUGUCAUAGAUAAAAAACGCCUGUACCAUAACCGACACAGGUGGGUAGGUAGAGUAUACUAAGGGGCGCGAGAUAACUCUCUCUAAGGAACUCGGCAAAAUAACUCCGUAACUUCGGGAGAAGGAGUGCCUUAUUCGUAAGGUUGCAAUAACAAGAUCCAAGCAACUGUUUAUCAAAAACACAGGUCUCCGCUAAGUCGUAAGACGAUGUAUGGGGGCUGACGCCUGCCCAGUGCCAGAAGGUUAAAGAAGUUGGUUAGCAAUUGCGAAGCUGAUAACUGAAGCCCUGGUGAACGGCGGCCGUAACAAUAACGGUCCUAAGGUAGCGAAAUUCCUUGUCGGGUAAGUUCCGACCCGCACGAAAGGCGUAAUGAUUUGGAUACUGUCUCGGAGAGGGGCUCGGUGAAAUAGACUUGUCUGUGAAGAUGCGGACUACCUGCACCAGGACAGAAAGACCCUAUGAAGCUUUACUGUAACUUGAAAUUGAAAUUGGACUUUAUUCGCGCAGUAUAGGUGGGAGGCGUUGAUUAUAAUCUUGUGGGAUUAUUGGAGCCAUCAGUGAGAUACCACUCUUGUAAUGUUAGAUUUCUAACUUUGAAUCAUUAUCUGGUCAAAGAACAGUUUCAGGCGGGCAGUUUGACUGGGGCGGUCGCCUCCUAAACGGUAACGGAGGCGUACAAAGGUUUCCUCUGAACGGUUAGAAAUCGUAUCUAGAGUGUAAAGGCAUAAGGAAGCUUGACUGUGAGACCUACAAGUCGAGCAGGGACGAAAGUCGGUCUUAGUGAUCUGACGGUACUGAGUGGAAAGGCCGUCACUCAACGGAUAAAAGUUACUCUAGGAUAACAGGCUGAUCUCCCCCAAGAGUUCACAUCGACGGGGAGGUUUGGCACCUCGAUGUCGGCUCAUCGCAUCCUGGGACGGUAGUACGUCCCAAGGGUUGGGCUGUUCGCCCAUGAAAGCGGUACGCGAGCUGGGUUCAGAACGUCGUGAGACAGUUCGGUCCAUAUCCGGUGUAGGCGUUAGAAUAUUGAGAGGAGCCUUCUUUAGUACGAGAGGACCGAGAAGGACAUACCUCUGGUGUACCAGUUAUCGUGCCAACGGUAACGCUGGGUAGCUAUGUAUGGAGUGGAUAACCGCUGAAAGCAUCUAAGUGGGAAGCCCACCUCAAGAUAAGUAUUC
Molecule: ribosomal RNA, 1236 nt
Filed under: metagenome
Description: bacterial LSU rRNA
Rfam family: Bacterial large subunit ribosomal RNA
Source: RNAcentral